CAAUUGAACGAAAUGUGCC
RNAcentral lists this non-coding RNA (19 nucleotides) under Rattus norvegicus (Norway rat). Lineage: Eukaryota; Metazoa; Chordata; Mammalia; Rodentia; Muridae. The record is from RNAcentral.